CUUCAUUUUCUCGGUGGUUGUGGGCCGUAUAGUUCAGUUAUACGACAUUUUCUCCCUUAGAAAAAGUCGUGUUCGAACCACUUCUUGGGCAGAAUAAUUGCAUUCAAUUUUAACCGAUCUGCCGAGAAAACUGGCUGGAAAUUAAAUUCCAUUUCGAGUGAAUAUUCAAACGCCAACGUAUCUGUGGAAUUAUUCAGUGGUUCAGUGUUUGAACAGCCGUGUUUUUUCGAUCGAAGAGAAAUUUCUAAAUUAUCACUUUAGUUUUCGCACGGGGCGGUAGAAACAUUCGAAAUGGCUGAUGGACUUGCUCCGAAUGCGCCAGGUGGCGAACCUAACGAAGAUGGAAUUGUUGGCGGUCCACGAACCCCUCAGCAAAUUGCUGCACAAAAACGAUUGCAGCAAACACAGGCCCAAGUCGAUGAGGUGGUGGACAUUAUGAAAACAAAUGUAGAAAAAGUACUAGAAAGAGAUCAAAAGCUAUCUGAAUUGGACGAUAGAGCUGAUGCAUUACAACAAGGUGCAUCACAGUUCGAACAACAGGCAGGAAAACUAAAGAGAAAAUUUUGGCUACAGAAUUUAAAGAUGAUGAUAAUUAUGGGCGUCAUUUUCAUCGUAAUAGUCGGGAUAAUCGUAUCAAACUUCAUGUAGACAACUAACAUAAAAUUCGCCAGUUAUCGCCUAAAAAAUUGAUUCUCAAUAAAAAUAAAAAAAAAUUCUUUAACAAAAAUAACAAAAAAGUAAAAGUAAAAUUCAUGCCGGAGGAAAAAGCGCAACCACAAGAGAAAAUUGUUUAUGCCCCUGCCCCAUUACCAGAUCAAUCAGGAGGACCACCACAAGCACCAGCAGCACCUGCAAAGGGCAGUAAUUCUGCAUUCGUACAGGACUCAUUUUGGAAUCAUAAACUUUAAAUUAAAACAAAAAUAAAAUAAAUAAAUAUUAUUUUAACGGAACAGAAGUAAAAAAUUUGAAUUAUUAUUAAACACAUUAAUCCCAACAUAAUACAAGACACAACGGACAGAUAUUUAGUGAAAGAUAUCAAUAACAAAGAUAUUAUUGAACGUAUUUAUAACAAAAGAAAUGGGAAAUUUUCAUUUCUUUUUCACAUCAUCGAAAUGUGUUGAAUGAAAAAUUUUCCGUAGUUUAUCAAUGGAUAUCACAUUGGAUACAAAUGAUCGAACAUAUUGGUUGUUUUUUUUGUCAUUCGAAAAUAUAAGUCGAAUGAUCUUUCUCCAAAAAGGAUAACAUUUUCCAAGUCCUUCGUAUCGUAGUUUAUAUUCAUAAAAAAAUUCCCUCAAUUACUUUUUAGACCGAAUUGUAAGAGUGUAGCGAAGCAAAAAAAAAAUUAUUUCAAAAUUAGGCUCUCUCUGUGUGUCUCACAUAAAAUAUUAUAAAAUAAUAACACCAACAUCUCCACAUUUUAAAUUUAAAUUUCGAUUGCAAAACAUAUAAAAAGAAUUAUGUCAACUAACAAAAAGAAACCGAGUUAAAAUUAAAUUAAACGAGUAAAUUUUGAAACAAUCUCUUGGACCUGCGGCCAGGAAGUUAUAAUAAAGAAGAAAAAAACAUAAAAUAAAACAACUAUUUUGCCUAAGUAAAUGAUUUUUUAGAUAGCAAUCACAAUUGAUUUUUUUUUUCAUUUUUGUUGAACCAAUCCCCCAAUUAAUGUCAAGAAUUUCUCUUUUUUGCAAUACAAGAAAUUUUCAGAAUCUCCUAUUUCGAAUGGUUUUAUUUUUAUAUAAUGGUUGUCAUUACAUAAACAGAAUAGUUAAGUAGUAAAUACCGGAAACUCUUUUUGUUGUUGUUAUACUUUACUGUAAAUGGUUUCUACUGAGGAAUGAUACCCACUUUGUCUCAAUUCCCGUAUAACAUUCCGAAGUGUAUUUUUGUUCGUCAAUUUGCCCAAUAUAAUCAACGACAAAGCAUGAACAUGGUAAAAUGGAAUUAUGAGUAGAAUUUGUUGGAUAAUGGAAAAUGGGAAAUUAAUUUAAAAAAAUAAUAAAGAAAAAAAUGAAUAAAACACAAUAAUGAAAAUAUUGAAAAAUUGAUCAUAUAAACCGUAAGGCUUUUCAUUAUUCAAAACUAUUAAAUAUGUAAAGAAAUAUAUAUAAAUUGAGAAAGAAAAAAACAAACCAAUUAAAAAUUGUUAUUAAAACCUUGUUUUCAUUAUAGGAAAUGUUAUAAAAAGAAAUUCAUUAGGUCAGUUUUGUUAAUUCAUUUUAAUUUGAAUCGCUUUUAUUAACCGAAACUUGCUGUCAACAACAACAAAAAUGACGAAAUUUGACAAAAGAAAUGUUUUCCAGCAAAAGAAAUAGUCACUUUGUUAUUGUGAAUCGACUUCGAGACGAUUAAACUUAAAAAGAAAAUUUGAAAGGAAAAUCAUAUACGAAAUAUUUGAAUAUCAUGAGUUACAGAAAAUUAAAUUUAAUUAAUUAAAA
RNA transcript from Bradysia coprophila, 2435 nucleotides. It is a transcript of the gene named neuronal synaptobrevin-like, with no coding region annotated. NCBI's taxonomy places the organism in Eukaryota, Metazoa, Arthropoda, Insecta, Diptera, Sciaridae. The record is from RefSeq and is a predicted model, not a curated record.